This 465-nucleotide ribosomal RNA is filed under the name Vreelandella stevensii. RNAcentral's name for it is "partial 16S ribosomal RNA". It matches the Rfam family "Bacterial small subunit ribosomal RNA", at positions 338 to 795 of the family's 1533-position model. The record is from RNAcentral. Lineage: Bacteria; Pseudomonadati; Pseudomonadota; Gammaproteobacteria; Oceanospirillales; Halomonadaceae.
UCUACGGGAGGCAGCAGUGGGGAAUAUUGGACAAUGGGCGAAAGCCUGAUCCAGCCAUGCCGCGUGUGUGAAGAAGGCCUUCGGGUUGUAAUGCACUUUCAGUGGGGAAGAAAGCCUUGGGGCUAAUACCCUCGAGGAAGGACAUCACCCACAGAAGAAGCACCGGCUAACUCCGUGCCAGCAGCCGCGGUAAUACGGAGGGUGCGAGCGUUAAUCGGAAUUACUGGGCGUAAAGCGCGCGUAGGCGGUCUGAUAAGCCGGUUGUGAAAGCCCCGGGCUCAACCUGGGAACGGCAUCCGGAACUGUCAGGCUAGAGUGCAGGAGAGGAAGGUAGAAUUCCCGGUGUAGCGGUGAAAUGCGUAGAGAUCGGGAGGAAUACCAGUGGCGAAGGCGGCCUUCUGGACUGACACUGACGCUGAGGUGCGAAAGCGUGGGUAGCAAACAGGAUUAGAUACCCCGGUAGUC